RNAcentral lists this small RNA (27 nucleotides) under Bombyx mori (domestic silkworm). RNAcentral's name for it is "ovarian small RNA-17889". The record is from RNAcentral. Lineage: Eukaryota; Metazoa; Arthropoda; Insecta; Lepidoptera; Bombycidae.
GUGCUGAACAAGACGCCCGGCAACGAU